CUUCGAGAGUUUUUUCCAACCUAUACGAUUUGAGUGUUGUAACCCAUAUUGGUUUCAGUAAUGUUAUCUAAUAUCGGAAGUCCAUCAGUUGUACACGAUUUAGAUGAUGGAUAGUUUGAGUGGUCUACUGAUAACCUAUACACUGAUUGACGUCAAGUCUUAUAACUGUGUACGAUCAUUAAAAACGAGAUAUAUAAUAGUCGAUUUUAAUGUACUGAUUUGAUCAUACAUUCCAGAAUACCGUUUAAUAAGAAAUUCCGUACUUAAUAUUUUGAAAUGUAAAACCAAAGUCAUCUAGACAGACACCUCCUCCCCCAAUUUACCCACUUCUGUUUUAAGAUUUUUUUUAUGCAAUGAAGUUAAUAAUAGUAAAUUUAUCUACAAUUGAAUAAUAAUUUAAAUGUUUUUACAAUUGGUUGAAAUUAAAAUUUAUAAUGAUUAUAAACCUAACUAAAUUAUAUAUAGUUUUAUCAUAGAAAAUAUUCAAAAUAUCGCUCUAUGAUUAUUUUUUUCUUUUUAUUUUUUCAAUAUUGUGUCGGAAUUAUAAUUCAAAAUUUGCACGUGCUU
Cinara cedri is the source of this 567-nucleotide non-coding RNA. The record is from the annotation of a GenBank genome assembly. NCBI's taxonomy places the organism in Eukaryota, Metazoa, Arthropoda, Insecta, Hemiptera, Aphididae.